RNAcentral lists this ribosomal RNA (372 nucleotides) under uncultured prokaryote. RNAcentral's name for it is "bacterial SSU rRNA". It matches the Rfam family "Bacterial small subunit ribosomal RNA", at positions 524 to 896 of the family's 1533-position model. The record is from RNAcentral.
UACGAAGGGGGCUAGCGUUGUUCGGAAUAACUGGGCGUAAAGGGCGCGUAGGCGGUUAGAUACGUCUGAUGUGAAAGUCCUGGGCUUAACCUAGGGACUGCAUUGGAUACGGUUUAGCUUGAGUGCGAGAGGGGAAAAUGGAAUUGCGCGUGUAGAGGUGAAAUUCGUAGAGAUGCGCAAGAACACCAGUGGCGAAGGCGAUUUUCUGGCUCGCAACUGACGCUGAGGCGCGAAAGCGUGGGGAGCAAACAGGAUUAGAUACCCUGGUAGUCCACGCCCUAAACGAUGCAUGCUAGAUGUCGGUCUGUCACAGGAUCGGUGUCGUCGCAAACGCAGUAAGCAUGCCGCCUGGGGAGUACGGUCGCAAGAUUA